RNAcentral lists this ribosomal RNA (420 nucleotides) under Pseudoalteromonas sp. FUC4. RNAcentral describes it as "bacterial SSU rRNA". It matches the Rfam family "Bacterial small subunit ribosomal RNA", at positions 1 to 422 of the family's 1533-position model. The record is from RNAcentral. Lineage: Bacteria; Pseudomonadati; Pseudomonadota; Gammaproteobacteria; Alteromonadales; Pseudoalteromonadaceae.
UUAAUUGAAGAGUUUGAUCAUGGCUCAGAUUGAACGCUGGCGGCAGGCCUAACACAUGCAAGUCGAGCGGUAACAGAAAGUAGCUUGCUACUUUGCUGACGAGCGGCGGACGGGUGAGUAAUGCUUGGGAACAUGCCUUGAGGUGGGGGACAACAGUUGGAAACGACUGCUAAUACCGCAUAAYGUCUACGGACCAAAGGGGGCUUCGGCUCUCGCCUUUAGAUUGGCCCAAGUGGGAUUAGCUAGUUGGUGAGGUAAUGGCUCACCAAGGCGACGAUCCCUAGCUGGUUUGAGAGGAUGAUCAGCCACACUGGGACUGAGACACGGCCCAGACUCCUACGGGAGGCAGCAGUGGGGAAUAUUGCACAAUGGGCGCAAGCCUGAUGCAGCCAUGCCGCGUGUGUGAAGAAGGCCUUCGGG